AACACAACAGGGGUCCAGUUUACUAACACGUUACAUUGAACUGAGUGUUCACAAAGAUUUAACAUCUUUUUGGUUGGAAAGUUUCUUCUACAAGAUAGAUGGAAGCCCAGAGAAGAAAGUACAGUCCUAGACCUGGAGAUGAUUUAAUUGUAGAUGCCUAGAUGAUGAUAUACCAGCCCCAGGAUAUUUACGUCGGAACAGGUAAAGUAUGAAUCAGAAUGUAAGUAUAUUUUUUUUUUAUUUAUUAAUAGUUGUACUAUAGAUAUUAAAAUAAUUUGAAUAUGUAUUACAGAUAGACGGCAGCCCAGAGAGAAGAAGAAAAAGUACAGUCCUAGACAUGGAGACGAUUAAAUUGAAGAUGCCUUGAUGAUGAUAUACCAGCCCCAGGAUAUUUACGUCGGAACAGGUAAAGUAUGAAUCAGAAUGUAAGUAUAUUUUUUUUUUAUUUAUUAAUAGUUGUACUAUAGAUAUUAAAAUAAUUUGAAUAUGUAUUGCAGAUAGACGGCAGCCCAGAGAAAAGAAGAAAGUACAGUCCUAGACCUGGAUAUAAUAAAACUGAGGAUGCCUAGAUGAUGAUAUACCAGCCCCAGGAUAUCUACAUCGGAACAGAUAGACGGCAGCCCAGAGAGAAGAAGAAAAAGUACAGUCCUAGACAUGGAGACGAUUAAAUUGAAGAUGCCUUGAUGAUGAUAUACCAGCCCCAGGAUAUUUACGUCGGAACAGGUAAAGUAUGAAUCAGAAUGUAAGUAUAUUUUUUUUUUAUUUAUUAAUAGUUGUACUAUAGAUAUUAAAAUAAUUUGAAUAUGUAUUGCAGAUAGACGGCAGCCCAGAGAAAAGAAGAAAAUACAGUCCUAGACCUGGAGAAGAUAAAAUUGAGGAUGCCUAGAUGAUGAUAUAGACGGCAGCCCAGAGAGAAGAAGAAAAAGUACAGUCCUAGACAUGGAGACGAUUAAAUUGAAGAUGCCUUGAUGAUGAUAUACCAGCCCCAGGAUAUUUACGUCGGAACAGGUAAAGUAUGAAUCAGAAUGUAAGUAUAUUUUUUUUUUAUUUAUUAAUAGUUGUACUAUAGAUAUUAAAAUAAUUUGAAUAUGUAUUGCAGAUAGACGGCAGCCCAGAGAAAAGAAGAAAAUACAGUCCUAGACCUGGAGAAGAUAAAAUUGAGGAUGCCUAGAUGAUGAUAUAGACGGCAGCCCAGAGAGAAGAAGAAAAAGUACAGUCCUAGACAUGGAGACGAUUAAAUUGAAGAUGCCUUGAUGAUGAUAUACCAGCCCCAGGAUAUUUACGUCGGAACAGGUAAAGUAUGAAUCAGAAUGUAAGUAUAUUUUUUUUUUAUUUAUUAAUAGUUGUACUAUAGAUAUUAAAAUAAUUUGAAUAUGUAUUGCAGAUAGACGGCAGCCCAGAGAAAAGAAGAAAAUACAGUCCUAGACCUGGAGACGAUAAAAUUGAGGAUGCCUAGAUGAUGAUAUACCAGCCCCAGGAUAUCUACAUCGGAACAGGUAAAGUAUGAAUCGGAAAGUAAGUAUAUUUUUUUUUUUAUUUAUUAAUAGUUGUCCUAUAGAUAUUAAAAUAAUUUGAAUAUGUAUUACAGAUAGACGGCAGCCCAGAGAGAAGAAGAAAAAGUACAGUCCUAGUCCUGGAGACGAUUAAAUUGAAAAUGACUUGAUGAUGAUAUACCAGCCCCAGGAUAUUUACGUCGGAACAGGUAAAGUAUGAAUCAGAAUGUAAGUAUAUUUUUUUUUUAUUUAUUAAUAGUUGUACUAUAGAUAUUAAAAUAAUUUGAAUAUGUAUUGCAGAUAGACGGCAGCCCAGAGAAAAGAAGAAAAUACAGUCCUAGACCUGGAGACGAUAAAAUUGAGGAUGCCUAGAUGAUGAUAUACCAGCCCCAGGAUAUCUACAUCGGAACAGGUAAAGUAUGAAUCGGAAAGUAAGUAUAUUUUUUUUUUAUUUAUUAAUAGUUGUCCUAUAGAUAUUAAAAUAAUUUGAAUAUGUAUUACAGAUAGACGGCAGCCCAGAGAGAAGAAGAAAAAGUACAGUCCUAGUCCUGGAGACGAUUAAAUUGAAAAUGACUUGAUGAUGAUGCCUGAGAAGUUUCAGUGGUACAGCUUGAAGAUGGUUCCAUUGUACAUAGAAGAUGAAGAUGAGUUAGGUUAAACCUUGUUAGAGUGAAAAAAAAAAAUAAAGCAUCAGGGAUAACAGUUCCAAGCAAGAUGGUAACAUAGAUCUUCAUUACUAACUCAGAGGCUCUGCCAUGAAAAAAAUAAAGAAGCAAGGACAGCAGCUCCAAGGAAGAUUAUUACAUUGAUCAUCUUCCAAGUCUGAUGUGUGGCCAUUAAAGAAAUAAUGUUAUUUCUGAGCGGUACAUAUAUACAAUAACUAUCUGAUUUCCAUCUGCAUGCAGAGUGAAAAAAAAAAUAAAGCAGCAGAGAUAGCAGUUCCAAGCAAGAUGGUAACAUAGAUCUUCAUUGUUAACUCAGAGGCUCUGCCAUGAAAAAAAUAAAAAAGCAAGGACAGCAGCUCCAAGGAAGAUUAUUACAUUGAUCAUCUUCCAAGUCUGAUGAGUGGCCAUUAAAGAAAUAAUGUUAUUUCUGAGCGGUACAUAUAUACAAUAACUAUCUGAUUUCCGUCUGCAUGCAGAGUGAAAAAAAACAUAAAGCAUCAGGGAUAGCAGUUCCAAGCAAGAUGGUAACAUAGAUCUUCAUUGCUAACUCAGAGGCUCUGCCAUGAAAAAAAUAAAGAAGCAAGGACAGCAGCUCCAAGGAAGAUUAUUACAUUGAUCAUCUUCCAAGUCUGAUGAGUGGCCAUUAAAGAAAUAAUGUUAUUUCUGAGCGGUACAUAUAUACAAUAACUAUCUGAUUUCCGUCUGCAUGCAGAGUGAAAAAAAAAUAAAGCAUCAGGGAUAGCAGUUCCAAGCAAGAUGGUAACAUAGAUCUUCAUUGCUAACUCAGAGGCUCUGCCAUGAAAAAAAUAAAGAAGCAAGGACAGCAGCUCCAAGGAAGAUUAUUACAUUGAUCAUCUUCCAAGUCUGAUAAGUGGCCAUUAAAGAAAUAAUGUUAUUUCUGAACGGUACAUAUAUACAAUAACUAUCUGAUUUCCAUCUACAUGCAGAGUGAAAAAAAAAAUAAAGCAUCAGGGAUAGCAGUUCCAAGCAAGAUGGUAACAUAGAUCUCAUUGCUAACUCAGAGGCUCUGCCAUGAAAAAAAUAAAGAAGCAAGGACAGCAGCUCCAAGGAAGAUUAUUACAUUGAUCAUCUUCCAAGUCUGAUGAGUGGCCAUUAAAGAAAUAAUGUGAUUUCAGUGUUUUCAUGGAUGGGAGUAAGACUUGGUGCUAUAAUAUGUCUAAUAUUUAAGCUAGCAUUAAUUACUGCUUGUCAGUAUGGAUUGUUUAGAAUGGUCAUUGGAGCUGUCUUUUAAGACAAAAUAACAACACUGGUUGAUACAAUUCUAGGAACCGGUGAAGAAGUUAAAAGUUUUACAAUAUACUGAAGACUUGCAACAGAAAAUAUUUUACUGAACAGUAUGAGAGAGCCAAGAUGAUUGUUGGAUUUAGAAUGCUUGGAAAAUACAACCAAAUGAAGACAAACAAUGCACUGCAUCAACAAACAAAACAACUACUGGAAAGUUGGGGCAUCAGUACUGAGUUCUGAUACUAAAAACAAUUGUUAAGAAGACUGUACAUACAUGUAUAUAUAUAUAUAUAUAUA
Long non-coding RNA from Mytilus californianus (California mussel), 3700 nucleotides. RefSeq lists it as uncharacterized. NCBI's taxonomy places the organism in Eukaryota, Metazoa, Mollusca, Bivalvia, Mytilida, Mytilidae. The transcript is spliced from 23 exons. The record is from RefSeq and is a predicted model, not a curated record.